AGAGAUUCUAGUCCUUGGCUUUGUAGACCAUUUAUAAAAUGGAUGGCUCUGUGGUUGACCAAACCGCAGAUGAGUUCCUUAGGGACCAACGUGGAAUGUGUUAGCUCCUGUUUGUUAAAAUGCUGCUAAUGAGAUCAACAUCAUGAAGUUAAUUUCUAUAACCCUAUUCCAUAGCUGCAAACUACGAAGACAUCUUGAAAACAUGAAACGAUCAGAAGAGAGGUCAGAUAAUCGCAGAAAAGCGAUUCAGCAGAGAAGGAAGUGCUUGGUCUUGAUCUGA
RNAcentral lists this long non-coding RNA (280 nucleotides) under Canis lupus familiaris (dog). RNAcentral describes it as "lncRNA (ENSCAFG00805007011.1, ENSCAFG00845012102.1)". Lineage: Eukaryota; Metazoa; Chordata; Mammalia; Carnivora; Canidae. The record is from RNAcentral.